Molecule: ribosomal RNA, 320 nt
Filed under: uncultured eukaryote
Lineage: Eukaryota
Description: partial 18S ribosomal RNA
Rfam family: Eukaryotic small subunit ribosomal RNA
Source: RNAcentral
CCCCUAGAUGUUCUGGGCCGCACGCGCGCUACACUGAACAGUUCAACAAGUCUUAACCUUGGCCGAUAGGUCUGGGUAAUCUUUGAACGCUGUUCGUGAUUGGGAUAGACCUUUGCAAUUAUGGGUCUUCAACGAGGAAUUCCUAGUAAACGCAAGUCAUCAGCUUGCAUUGAUUACGUCCCUGCCCUUCGUACACACCGCCCGUCGCACCUACCGAUUGAAUGGUCCGGUGAAAUCUCGGGACGGCGGCUUGGUCGCUUGCGUCCGACUGCUGAAACUUGAUUAAACCAUAUCAUUUAGAGGAAGGUGAANUCGUAACA